Non-coding RNA from Pelobates cultripes (western spadefoot toad), 130 nucleotides. The record is from the annotation of a GenBank genome assembly. Lineage: Eukaryota; Metazoa; Chordata; Amphibia; Anura; Pelobatidae.
GCCAAUCUACAGCAGACCCUCCCUCCCAGACCCUCUCACCUCCUGGACAGCUCACUAAGAAUGCAGCUUCAAAAUGGAUGCUGUCCAGGAGGUGGGAGGGUCUGGGAGGGAGGGUCUGCUGCUGGCUGUG